AUUACAUUAGAAAUACUGGUGUACUGCAGAAUUUGUUACUCCUAGGUUGCCUUCCUGACCUGUCAGAGGACAUGCAACAAGGCAGGAUUAUAGAAAAGGAAGAAGAAGGCAUCAUAAAAGGAGAAAAGACAAACAAGAAGGAAAAAAACACAAGGAGAAUACACAUGAAAAGUGGAAAUCACAUCUUCUGGCAUUGUGAGGGUGAGCACUUCAGACCAAAAUGGCCAUAUGACUCAGACUUGGGCCAGCACUUGCUCCUAUUGUUGUCAGAUGAAAGAUCGUAUUGAAGAAAAACUAGGGUAGGGGAGAGGUGGGGAAGAUAGCUGCAUAUUUGUGAUAAAGAAGCUGAUUUAGGAUAGGAAGGAUCGUAUCUCCAUAAUGAGAUCAGGAGACUGUUGUUCAUACUGAUGGAAGUUAAUGAGAAAUUUCAGACUGUAGUAACAUCACAGUGUGGGAGGAACUGUUUUGAAAGCUAAUCACGCUGAAUUUCCUGGAGGCAACACCUAAAGAAAGGAAUCUCUAUUUAUACAGUCAUACAGUUAAAAGAGCUUUUAAAAAGAACGUGGGAGUCCUGAAGGGAUAAUUAACUGAGAAAACUUCAGAGCUUUUCCUCAGGCUUUUUAGAAACAUAAUCUAUCUCUUCCAGAAAGCAUGAGUAACGUGCAGUACCUGCUUGCUGAGUGUGACAGUGGUGUUGAUGCUGACCAGGUGAUGUUGACUGUUUGCUGGGGUAGUACCAUCUGUGGUGGUGUCCGAGCAUCUCCUUACUCUACCAAGUUGCAUGCAUGCACAGGAAGACAUAUGUCUCCAUAUCUUCCAUAUUCAAGCUCUCAUCACUCUGAGGGAAAUGGUGUAAGAGGAGACAGGCCUGACCUUGCCUCGAGAUGAGUACAUCCUCCUGAGAACAGAGUGAUGAAGGAGCCCCACGUGCAGUUUGCUCUACCGUGACUUUGUUGGAAACCUGUCUAGUGACAAGGUCUUCCAGGAGAGAGAAACACACUCAUUGUGCUGGACCUGCUGGUGAAUUGCCAGUGCCUGGCUCCUCUCAGAAGACCCCAGUCUGCAAUCAGACAACUCAGCAUGCCCUGGUGUAGGACCAGAACAGCCAACUCAGUGUCUUUGAAAUCACUAUUCACAGCUGUGGCUUCCUGAAAGAUGCAGAAGAUGCAGAAUGUGAAACACAGACUCCAGAUUCCGCACACCAGCUGCCUUGAUCUCAUCCUGAGGGAUUCAGCCAGAAGCUGAGGCAGUCCCAGUGCAUGACUGAUGAUGACCCGAAGGGUCCAGAUCCAGCUUGCAGGAACAGAUCAUUACCUGUCCUUGGAACUUGCUGUCUUGGUCACCUGAUGACAGUUACCAGAUUGCUGAAGUGUAGCUUCAAGGAUGUAUUUGGAGAUGUUUGAAUAUACAGCGAGUGACAGUCCUACCAGCAUCCAGUGUGCUCUGUGGAAAGGGAAAUUGAGAGAAUGUGUACACCUGGACAUAAAGGAAUCUAAAAUUAAUGUUUUAAGCCAAAACCAUCAUAAGUGACUAUUUCGUUCUCUGACAUCUCUGCCAUCACAGAAGAUGAGUGCAUGUAGCCCUUAACAUACAGGUUUUGAUGGUGGCACAAAAAUGCUGCUUUUAGUCGUAAGCUUCACAUCAGUACAAUUAAUGCUUUUAGUUCCCAGGCAGCUCUGCAAAAUCAAAGGCUUGUGUAGGUCCUUGUUUUUAAAGCUCUGCACCGGCUUACAUUUCCAAGCAGUGUACUCACUACACAUUAAAUGAAAUCCUGAUUUCACUA
Molecule: long non-coding RNA, 1783 nt
Filed under: Gallus gallus (chicken)
Lineage: Eukaryota; Metazoa; Chordata; Aves; Galliformes; Phasianidae
Description: long non-coding RNA NONGGAT003929
Source: RNAcentral